RNAcentral lists this ribosomal RNA (428 nucleotides) under uncultured bacterium. RNAcentral's name for it is "bacterial SSU rRNA". It matches the Rfam family "Bacterial small subunit ribosomal RNA", at positions 354 to 796 of the family's 1533-position model. The record is from RNAcentral.
GUGAGGAAUAUUGGACAAUGGGGGCAACCCUGAUCCAGCGACGCCGCGUGAGUGAUGAAGGCCUUCGGGUCGUAAAGCUCUGUUGCAGGGGAAGAACACAAUGACGGUACCCUGCUAGAAAGGAUCGGCUAACUUCGUGCCAGCAGCCGCGGUAAGACGAGGGAUCCUAGCGUUGUUCGGAAUUAUUGGGCGUAAAGCGGGUGCAGGUGGCUUGGUAAGUCAGAUGUGAAAGCCUGGGGCUUAACCCCAGAAGUGCAUUUGAUACUGCUGAGCUUGAGUGCUGGAGAGGCUAUUAGAAUUCCUGGUGUAGUGGUGAAAUACGUAGAUAUCAGGAGGAAUACCGGAGGCGAAGGCGGAUAGCUGGCCAGACACUGACACUCAGACCCGAAAGCGUGGGGAUCAAACAGGAUUAGAAACCCGGGUAGUCC